AUGAGAAAACAAAAGAGAGUGGGUUUUGUUUCAAUUUUGGUUGAAGUCAGCUCAUUGUUUUUUGUCUGUUUGAUUCAACAACAAUUGAGUUUAUCACAUUCAAUCCUGUUUUUAGAAAAAUAUAAUUAUUUUGUUAAAUUAAAAUACUUUAAUUAUGAUGAAUGUAAUAUAUGUUAA
Molecule: non-coding RNA, 177 nt
Organism: Vicia faba (fava bean)
Lineage: Eukaryota; Viridiplantae; Streptophyta; Magnoliopsida; Fabales; Fabaceae
Source: the annotation of a GenBank genome assembly